Molecule: ribosomal RNA, 425 nt
Filed under: uncultured bacterium
Lineage: Bacteria
Description: partial 16S ribosomal RNA
Rfam family: Bacterial small subunit ribosomal RNA
Source: RNAcentral
GUGGGGAAUAUUGGACAAUGGGCGCAAGCCUGAUCCAGCCAUGCCGCGUGUGUGAUGAAGGCCUUAGGGUUGUAAAGCACUUUCGCCGGUGAAGAUAAUGACGGUAACCGGAGAAGAAGCCCCGGCUAACUUCGUGCCAGCAGCCGCGGUAAUACGAAGGGGGCAAGCGUUGCUCGGAAUCACUGGGCGUAAAGCGCACGUAGGCGGGUCGUUAAGUCAGGGGUGAAAUACUGGAGCUCAACUCCAGAACUGCCAUUGAUACUGGCGACCUAGAGUUCGAGAGAGGUUGGUGGAACUCCGAGUGUAGAGGUGAAAUUCGUAGAUAUUCGGAAGAACACCAGUGGCGAAGGCGGCCAACUGGCUCGAUACUGACGCUGAGGUGCGAAAGCGUGGGGAGCAAACAGGAUUAGAUACCCCUGUAGUCC